RNAcentral lists this long non-coding RNA (553 nucleotides) under Panax ginseng (ginseng). RNAcentral describes it as "long non-coding RNA (PGIN_LNC017181)". Lineage: Eukaryota; Viridiplantae; Streptophyta; Magnoliopsida; Apiales; Araliaceae. The record is from RNAcentral.
UCUUACAGAAAUGCCACAUAUUCAUUGAAUCCUAGUUGAAAUUUACUGUUAACAACAUUAUACACAUAAACUAUUGCCCACCCAUCAAAAACAAGUAUACCCAUGCCCACCCGAUCCGACCCAACGAAUUUCAUCCAUGUUAAAUAAGAAAUUAGACAUCAAAAGGGCUAAACUUAGGGUUCUUCGUUAGAGUAGAGAUCACACAUCAAUUCAUUGAAGUAAUUGAAAGUAAGAAUCCAAUACAUAGGUAAACUUACAAUUUGUUGAACCCAAAUCAAAUUCAAUGUAUAAUCCAAUGCGAUGGAUGAUAUUAUUUGGGGAUGACGUUGUCCUCAAUUUGCAGAAAUCGAAUUCAACUUCAAUUUAAAAUCCCAAUUUGUUGAACCCAACUCAUAUUUAAUAUUCAGAACGUGAUCGCCGUCGAUGGGAACUUCACCGUCAACGAUACGAAGAUCCAAAGCCUAACUACGUUAGAAUUUUGGAGCUCGGAGAAUUCAAAAAUUGUGGUGGGUUUUGCCCAACAGGUGGAGUUAGAGAAAAUCAGUACAAAAAU